GACGGAGGAUGCAAGCGUUAUCCGGAAUUAUUGGGCGUAAAGCGUCCGCAGGUGGUUAAUCAAGUCUGUUUUCAAAGCGUGGGGCUCAACUCCAUACGGGGAAUGGAAACUGAUGAACUAGAGAUUGGUAGGGGCAGAGGGAAUUCCCAGUGUAGCGGUGAAAUGCGUAGAUAUUGGGAAGAACACCAGUGGCGAAAGCGCUCUGCUGGGCCAAGACUGACACUGAGGGACGAAAGCCAGGGGAGCGAAAGGG
This 253-nucleotide ribosomal RNA is filed under the name uncultured bacterium. RNAcentral describes it as "partial 16S ribosomal RNA". It matches the Rfam family "Bacterial small subunit ribosomal RNA", at positions 524 to 776 of the family's 1533-position model. The record is from RNAcentral.